Molecule: transfer RNA, 72 nt
Filed under: Puccinia triticina
Lineage: Eukaryota; Fungi; Basidiomycota; Pucciniomycetes; Pucciniales; Pucciniaceae
Description: tRNA-Met
Rfam family: tRNA
About the family: Transfer RNA (tRNA) molecules are approximately 80 nucleotides in length.
Source: RNAcentral
AACCACUAUAGUUCAGCGGUAGAACAAUUCACUCAUGCUGAGUAUGCGUAGAUUCGAUUUCUACUAGUGGUA